AGAGCGAACGCUGGCGGCAGGCCUAACACAUGCAAGUCGAGCGCCCGUAGCAAUACGGGAGCGGCAGACGGGAUAGUAACACGUGGGAACGCGCCCUUCGGUUCGGAAUAACUCAGGGAAACUUGAGCUAAUACCGAAUACGCCCUUACGGGGAAAGAUUUAUUGCCGAAGGAACGGCCCGCGUCCGAUUAGCUAGUUGGUGAGGUAAUGGCUCACCAAGGCUACGAUCGGUAGCUGGUCUGAGAGGAUGACCAGCAUCACUGGGACUGAGACACGGCCCAGACUCCUACGGGAGGCAGCAGUGGGGAAUAUUGGACAAUGGGCGCAAGCCUGAUCCAGCCAUGCCGCGUGGAUGAUGAAGGCCUUAGGGUUGUAAAGUUCCUUUAACGGGGAAGAUAAUGACGGUACCCGUAGAAUAACGCCCCGGCUAACUUCGUGCCAGCAGCCGC
Molecule: ribosomal RNA, 449 nt
Filed under: uncultured bacterium
Lineage: Bacteria
Description: SSU rRNA
Rfam family: Bacterial small subunit ribosomal RNA
Source: RNAcentral